CCUGCCUAUGAGUAAUAUUUAAAUGGCCGCGGUAUUUUGACCGUGCAAAGGUAGCAUAAUCAUUUGUCUUUUAAUUGAAGGCUGGAAUGAAUGGUUGGACGAGAAAUUUGCUUUCUUUAUUAUAAAAUUUGAAUUUAAUUUUUAAGUUAAAAAGCUUAAAUAUUAUUAUAGGACGAGAAGACCCUAUAGAACUUUAUUUAUUUAUUAAUAGAGAGAUUUAGUUUAUGUUUUUUUUAUUAAGAUUAUAAAUUUUGUUGGGGUGACAUGGAAAUUUUUUUAACUUUCUAUUAAUUUAAUUCAUUAAUUAAUGUAAAUAAUGAUCCAUAAUUUUUGAUUAAAAGUUUAAGUUACUUUAGGGAUAACAGCAAAAUUUUUUUUUGACA
RNAcentral lists this ribosomal RNA (383 nucleotides) under Buenoa unguis. RNAcentral's name for it is "partial 16S ribosomal RNA". The record is from RNAcentral. Lineage: Eukaryota; Metazoa; Arthropoda; Insecta; Hemiptera; Notonectidae.